This 1394-nucleotide ribosomal RNA is filed under the name Nocardia farcinica. RNAcentral's name for it is "16S ribosomal RNA". It matches the Rfam family "Bacterial small subunit ribosomal RNA". Lineage: Bacteria; Bacillati; Actinomycetota; Actinomycetes; Mycobacteriales; Nocardiaceae. The record is from RNAcentral.
ACGAACGCUGGCGGCGUGCUUAACACAUGCAAGUCGAGCGGUAAGGCCCUUCGGGUACACGAGCGGCGAACGGGUGAGUAACACGUGGGUGAUCUGCCCUGUACUUCGGGAUAAGCCUGGGAAACUGGGUCUAAUACCGGAUAUGACCUUACAUCGCAUGGUGUUUGGUGGAAAGAUUUAUCGGUACAGGAUGGCCCGCGGCCUAUCAGCUUGUUGGUGGGGUAAUGGCCUACCAAGGCGACGACGGGUAGCCGGCCUGAGAGGGCGACCGGCCACACUGGGACUGAGACACGGCCCAGACUCCUACGGGAGGCAGCAGUGGGGAAUAUUGCACAAUGGGCGAAAGCCUGAUGCAGCGACGCCGCGUGAGGGAUGACGGCCUUCGGGUUGUAAACCUCUUUCGACAGGGACGAAGCGCAAGUGACGGUACCUGUAGAAGAAGCACCGGCCAACUACGUGCCAGCAGCCGCGGUAAUACGUAGGGUGCGAGCGUUGUCCGGAAUUACUGGGCGUAAAGAGCUUGUAGGCGGUUUGUCGCGUCGUCCGUGAAAACUUGGGGCUCAACCCCAAGCUUGCGGGCGAUACGGGCAGACUUGAGUACUGCAGGGGAGACUGGAAUUCCUGGUGUAGCGGUGAAAUGCGCAGAUAUCAGGAGGAACACCGGUGGCGAAGGCGGGUCUCUGGGCAGUAACUGACGCUGAGAAGCGAAAGCGUGGGUAGCGAACAGGAUUAGAUACCCUGGUAGUCCACGCCGUAAACGGUGGGCGCUAGGUGUGGGUUUCCUUCCACGGGAUCCGUGCCGUAGCUAACGCAUUAAGCGNCCCGCCUGGGGAGUACGGCCGCAAGGCUAAAACUCAAAGGAAUUGACGGGGGCCNGCACAAGCGGCGGAGCAUGUGGAUUAAUUCGAUGCAACGCGAAGAACCUUACCUGGGUUUGACAUACACCGGAAACCUGCAGAGAUGUAGGCCCCCUUGUGGUCGGUGUACAGGUGGUGCAUGGCUGUCGUCAGCUCGUGUCGUGAGAUGUUGGGUUAAGUCCCGCAACGAGCGCAACCCUUGUCCUGUGUUGCCAGCGCGUUAUGGCGGGGACUCGCAGGAGACUGCCGGGGUCAACUCGGAGGAAGGUGGGGACGACGUCAAGUCAUCAUGCCCCUUAUGUCCAGGGCUUCACACAUGCUACAAUGGCCGGUACAGAGGGCUGCGAUACCGUGAGGUGGAGCGAAUCCCUUAAAGCCGGUCUCAGUUCGGAUCGGGGUCUGCAACUCGACCCCGUGAAGUUGGAGUCGCUAGUAAUCGCAGAUCAGCAACGCUGCGGUGAAUACGUUCCCGGGCCUUGUACACACCGCCCGUCACGUCAUGAAAGUCGGUAACACCCGAAGCCGGUGGCCUAACCC